RNAcentral lists this long non-coding RNA (392 nucleotides) under Homo sapiens (human). Its description in RNAcentral is "HSALNT0089932". Lineage: Eukaryota; Metazoa; Chordata; Mammalia; Primates; Hominidae. The record is from RNAcentral.
GAUAAAAACCCACAGCCAUACACUAGCUGGCCUGUCCUGAGGGUUGUGAGGCACAAAAUGCUAGGAGACUAGAGAAGUAAGAAAUGUCUUGACAUGAGGAGAAAUCAAGGAAAGCAUGGUUUUAGAACAUGUGUGGGAUGUUUUUUGUAUCGAGACUGAAGAGGCUUUUUAAAGUGGAGGGAAGGCAAACUGAGGCAUAGAGAUGCCAAUACCAGGUCUUGUCAGGAAGAACAGAGUCCAAUUUGGCUGCAGGAUAGGGCAUAUGUAGGGGAGGGGAUAAGACUGGCAUGGGGGCAGAGGGGGACUUGAAUGUCAGGUGACAGAGUCAAAGCUUGCACUCAAGUAGGUGAUUGAUAGGUGAGGGGUGGGAUGUGGGGUUGAGUAGAUUUGCC